Molecule: ribosomal RNA, 253 nt
Filed under: uncultured bacterium
Lineage: Bacteria
Description: partial 16S ribosomal RNA
Rfam family: Bacterial small subunit ribosomal RNA
Source: RNAcentral
UACGUAGGGGGCAAGCGUUGUCCGGAUUUACUGGGCGUAAAGAGCGUGUAGGCGGCCACGCAGGUCCGUUGUGAAAACUGGAGGCUCAACCUCCAGCUGUCGACGGAAACCGUGUGGCUAGAGUCCGGAAGAGGAGAGUGGAAUUCCUGGUGUAGCGGUGAAAUGCGCAGAUAUCGGGAGGAACACCUAUGGCGAAGGCAGCUCGCUGGGACGUUACUGACGCUGAGACGCGAAAGCGUGGGGAGCAAACAGG